UACCCUUCCCCGCUAGCUCUCUUCCCCUGGCCUACGGGCUCACUCCAGCUGCUGCUCUCUCCCACCGAAGGAAAAAAUGGUGAUCGUUCAAAGCAUCAUCUGCACGCCACAAGCUCUCUCCGCUUCGCUUGCUUCCGCGCUCCGGCCACGUCUCAGUCCGCGCCCGCUCUCCUCCUCAUCUUCUCUCCGCCCCAAUCGCAACCGGCGCAGCGCGGGACCGCCUCUUCCUCGCACGGCCGUCUCGCGGGACUCGUCCGGUCCGAAGUCCGAACCUCGCAACCCCGGCGGCGACGGGUCCGGAGAGACGGCGCCUCUCCCGAAGACGAAGCCGCGGAAGCCCAGGAGGAGGGGCCGCCGGAGCGAAGCCCAAGCGGUAGAGGACUUCAUAAGGGGGUCGCUCGACCGGACGUUCGCGUCUAUCAGGGAGCAGAAUCCCGAGGCGUUUGAUGGAAUCGCGGAGGAUGUGAUGGUGAAGGAGAAGAUUGAUGAUGAGGAUGAUGACGGGGAGGAGGAGGAGGAGGAGGCUGCGGAGGCGGAGAAGGAGUUUGUAGUUCAGGAGGAGAGCUCGAGUUGGCCGUUGGAUGCGGACGUGGGCUGGGGAAUUAGGGCGUCGGAGUAUUUCGAGCAGCAUCCGAUCAGGAAUGUGGUUGGAGAAGAUGGUUCUGCGAUUGACUGGGAAGGGGAGGUGGAGGACAGUUGGGUCAAGGAGAUCAAUUGUUUGGAGUGGGAGAGUUUCGCUUUCCAUCCGAGCCCAUUGAUUGUUCUCAUUUUCGAAAGAUACAACAGGGCAUCUGAUAACUGGAAGGUUUUGAAAGAGUUAGAAAAUGCCAUCAAAGUUUAUUGGGGGACGAAAGACCGAUUACCACCUCGAGCUGUUAAAGUAGAUAUGAACAUUGAAAGAGAUUUGGCAUACGCUCUUAAAGUUAAAGAGUGCCCACAAAUACUAUUCUUACGUGGAAACAGGAUUUUGUACAGGGAGAAAGAUUUUCGAACAGCUGAUGAAUUGGUUCAUAUGAUCGCACAUUUCUACUAUAAUGCAAAGAAACCUUCAUGGGUUGGUGAUGCAGCCCUGAAUUUACCUUAUUAAAGUGCUAGUCUGGACCUGGCAUUCGUCUUCCUGUACAGGUAGCUGGUUUUGAUCCUACUAUAAAGAAAAAGAAAGGAACACACCUCAAUGUUAUGGACAAAAUGUUAUUUAUGUGGGCUUUCUUCUUUCUGAGGAUUUGACUAGCACUGGUUCAGAUUCAACUAGAAAAUCCAAGGGCAAUCAGACUGUGGAAGGUGCUUUCUUUUAUCCAAUGCUUGCUUACCUUCGUCAUGCACUUGUUGAUCACAUUUAGAAAGGCUUAGCAGGAUCUGUGUAUUGUCCCCUAGAAGUUAGAAAAUUCGAUGGUUUAGUUUGAAGCCUGGAUUCUUAUGCUGAGAGUUUCCAUUGCAUUCUGUUUUCUUCAGUCUAGGUUUUGGCGUUAAUCUUUCUGUUAGUAUAUAAUUUGCUCUUAGUCACAUGGCACUUUUGAAUUGAGUAUACUUAGACAUUGCUAGUCCACUGUAUUCAA
Molecule: RNA transcript, 1556 nt
Organism: Rhodamnia argentea
Lineage: Eukaryota; Viridiplantae; Streptophyta; Magnoliopsida; Myrtales; Myrtaceae
Gene name: thioredoxin-like fold domain-containing protein MRL7 homolog, chloroplastic
Exons: 5
Source: RefSeq, a predicted model, not a curated record